This is a long non-coding RNA of Bactrocera neohumeralis, 816 nucleotides long. RefSeq lists it as uncharacterized. Lineage: Eukaryota; Metazoa; Arthropoda; Insecta; Diptera; Tephritidae. The transcript is spliced from 3 exons. The record is from RefSeq and is a predicted model, not a curated record.
AAUUCUGGAAAAUUUUCCGAAAAAAAAUGUAUGAAGAAAAUAAAUUUUCAAAUACGAUUUUAAAAAGGAAAUAAAAACGAACAUGAUUUUAAAUGCUGUAUUGCCAGUAGAUGGCGUUGUGUGCAUCAACUUUUGACAGCUGCAUGCAUAUGCACAGUUGGCAACCCACGCAAGAUGCAAUGACAUAUGUGACUUGAGUUUAGUAACAUAAAUAUCGGCAUUUUCUUAAGCUUUUAUCGGCUUUCGUUAGUUAUUGUAAUUCAAUUUGAUUUAAUACAUUGUUUUGAAACGAUAUAUUAGCCGUGUUUUAUUGGUAAUUUUAUGUUCACGGCUAUUGUGAAAAUUGUAAGCGAAAAGUGAUUUCAUAGAGGUGGAAUAAUUUGAAAAUCAAUUCGAGUUCGCUGUUCAUUUCAUUCUGAUUGAUCAUAUUGGUGUGGAAUUCUAUUUUCAAACGUGUAAUUCAGAAAGCCACGAGCCAAAAGAUCUAAUCUUUCGCCUCGAACCCGAAAUGCAAAUAGAGUUCGGAAUAUUGCCUAUCAAUUGACGACAGAUGAACAAGAAAUCGCACGAGAACAGCGCCGUGUUAGUAUGGCCCGAUUUCGUACAUCACAAACACAAGAAGAAAGACAGGCGGAAAAUGAAACGGCUAAGUUAACAAUGAGAAAUCGUCGGGCAAAUGAAACAACUCAACAACGUGAUAAUCUAAAUCAACGCAUAAGAAGAAGUGCUUCAAGUGUUGAUUUGGAUCGAGUAGCGUUUCAUUACGAUUGCAGAAUUGAUUACAGCUCGCAUCCUUCCGUUAAAAUUCACCCAAUG